This 248-nucleotide unclassified non-coding RNA is filed under the name Hevea brasiliensis (rubber tree). The record is from RNAcentral. Lineage: Eukaryota; Viridiplantae; Streptophyta; Magnoliopsida; Malpighiales; Euphorbiaceae.
CAUCAAUUUUUUACCCUAGCUCAUCACAUGGAUCAUCUUCUACUGCAUCCUAUUGUGCUCAAUCAGAGGCAAUGGAGGAAGAGAUUCAACAAUUGCAUCAGACUAUUGCAACGCUCAAGGAUAGUUUGGUUGCAAUGGAGGAGAGAGAUCGACAACGCGAGUUGAUGCUGGAGGAGAGAUAUAGACAACGUGAGCAGACAUUGGAGGAGCGCAUGCAACAAAUGAUGCAAAACAUGAUGGCACAAAUG